This 1146-nucleotide long non-coding RNA is filed under the name Macaca mulatta (Rhesus monkey). Its description in RNAcentral is "lncRNA (ENSMMUG00000055587.1)". Lineage: Eukaryota; Metazoa; Chordata; Mammalia; Primates; Cercopithecidae. The record is from RNAcentral.
CACAAAACACAAGGGGUUUGGUCUAGGACUCUCCUGUCCUUUGAUUUCCUAGGUAUAGGGGAACCCCCAGAAGCCCCGUCCCCCUAGUUGCUUCCUCUGAUCUGUGAAUUCUGGCUUCUCUAACAUUUCUGAUAUGAUGAUUCAGGAAAAAAGUGGACUUGUCAGAGAGAGGAAGGGAAGAUAAAAAUAAAAUCAAGUUAGCCAGGCCUAUGAGUUCCUCUCAUCUUAGUCAUCCCCCGCUGCCCUUCCCCAUGAACAUCCACAAUCUUAAAAAUCCCACAGCCCUGCGCAGAGUGGGAGCCAGACUUUGGGGUCCAGGUCAAGGCCAGAGGGUAAAGGGGACAUGAUUCAGCCCUGUGGGCCUGCGGACGGACGGGGGGAGUGGGGGGCCCUGCAGGCCCCCCCGCCGCCGAGGACGCAGGGCUGUGGGCUAUGAGUCCUGCCUCACCCUGCAGCCUGCACCGCCUCUGCUUCUCCAAGCGGGAGCCGCCGAGUGAUUGAUGGGCCCCAGCUUGAAUGGAAAGUCCAGAUUCCAGCAACACAGCUUAAGAGGUGAUGGUGAUUUUCGACUCAUUCCCGUUACAAACAGCCGACCUUCCUACCGAGUUCAAGUACCUUCUGCCUGGCCUGGAAGAACCGUAUCUCUCUGUCACCCUCUUCCUCUGGCCCUCACCUGCCCUCCCCUGAACAUGCAUUUUGCCUGAGAGGAGACAGAGGCGGUUGAGAUGGAGUCUUGCUAUAUGGCCCAGCUGGUAAUGCCUGGAUUCUUGAGUCCCUCCCUGGCUCAUCCCUGGGAGAAGCACCGAACCCCAUGUCUGACACCUGUCCGGAAAUGGAGCCUGCACAUUGACCCUAGGUGCUUGCAGCUUGGUCCAGGACGCCAGCGGGACCAGACAGAAGACCACAGCGACACGUGGGGAUGGCUGUUCCACAGGCAGAAAUGGGCAGCCAGGAGGAAGUCCGGGCAGCCAGCCACCCAGCUCCUUCCACAUCGUGGCCCUAGAACGGAGUCUUGAAGAAUAAGAAGCCACAGCUUGUCAGGGAAUCAGUCUGGAAAAAUGUUAUGAGACCAGAGGUAGGUAGGUUUGGGUACCAGCGAAACAGGGAAGGUGUGGCAGCAGGGAGCAGGGUGCUGGGCACAGAGAG